AAUCCUUUAUAUCUUU
RNAcentral lists this transfer RNA (16 nucleotides) under Ursus spelaeus (cave bear). RNAcentral's name for it is "partial tRNA-Asp". The record is from RNAcentral. Lineage: Eukaryota; Metazoa; Chordata; Mammalia; Carnivora; Ursidae.